Molecule: ribosomal RNA, 468 nt
Filed under: uncultured bacterium
Lineage: Bacteria
Description: partial 16S ribosomal RNA
Rfam family: Bacterial small subunit ribosomal RNA
Source: RNAcentral
GACGAACGCUGGCGGCGUGCUUAACACAUGCAAGUCGAACGGAAAGGCCCUGCUUUUGUGGGGUGCUCGAGUGGCGAACGGGUGAGUAACACGUGAGUAACCUGCCCUUGACUUUGGGAUAACUUCAGGAAACUGGGGCUAAUACCGGAUAGGAGCUCCUGCUGCAUGGUGUGGGUUGGAAAGUUUCGGCGGUUGGGGAUGGACUCGCGGCUUAUCAGCUUGUUGGUGGGGUAGUGGCUUACCAAGGCUUUGACGGGUAGCCGGCCUGAGAGGGUGACCGGCCACAUUGGGACUGAGAUACGGCCCAGACUCCUACGGGAGGCAGAAGUGGGGAAUAUUGCACAAUGGGCGGAAGCCUGAUGCAGCAACGCCGCGUGCGGGAUGACGGCCUUCGGGUUGUAAACCGCUUUCGCCUGUGACGAAGCGUGAGUGACGGUAAUGGGUAAAGAAGCACCGGCUAACUACGUG